RNAcentral lists this long non-coding RNA (715 nucleotides) under Sinocyclocheilus rhinocerous. RNAcentral's name for it is "lncRNA (ENSSRHG00000014302.1)". The record is from RNAcentral. Lineage: Eukaryota; Metazoa; Chordata; Actinopteri; Cypriniformes; Cyprinidae.
CUCAUCUAAGUUCAUUUGUGUUCUCCGUUUUGCUCCUGCCUGUUUCUGAUCUACGCACACACGUGACAAAAUACAGAGAUCUUACCAAUUGUGCUUUUCUUUUGUAGAACGUUGGCUCAGCAUAAGUGAUCAUUUCUUCACAAGUCUGAACUGCAGCAAUAGAUGAAAUAGGUGCAUUAAAUAGCCAAUCUUAACUAGAUCUGUUUCUUUACAACAUAUGUAUCAUUAUCAAGGCUCAAAUUUUCUUGCAGAUGCAACACGUCACGACUGCAGCUACAAUCAACAGAGCUCCAGCAGCAGCAGAAAUCAGCACUAUGUACAAUAAAGAUGCAACACAUCACAACUGCAGCUACAAUCAACAGAGAUCCUGCAGCAGAGAUCAACACUAUGUACAAUAAAGGGUCCCGCGUGUUGAGCUGUGAUGUUUGUGAUGGUCAGAGAUCCAGUUUGAUUGUCCAGCUUCAGUCUGUCUCUGAAUCUCCCAUCAGGAACAUCAGAUGUGAAGAUUCCAUAAACUCCGCUGAUUUCAGCUAUCAUAGAUCCAAAUUUCCACACAUCCUACACAUUUUCGGUCCAAGCCUGAUGCAGAGAAGUUCUGCUGGGAUGGGAGGUUCGAAUAUCCUUGCUGCAGUUUCACCAGUGCAGAGAAUCAGAUGAAGCAAGAUGUCUUUUUUUAUUCUUCUUUGAGCAUACGGAGGACCUGUACACAUUCAGA